GAUCAUGGCUCAGGAUGAACGCUAGCUACAGGCUUAACACAUGCAAGUCGAGGGGCAGCAUUUUAGUUUGCUUGCAAACUGAAGAUGGCGACCGGCGCACGGGUGAGUAACACGUAUCCAACCUGCCGAUAACUCCGGAAUAGCCUUUCGAAAGAAAGAUUAAUACCGGAUAGCAUACGAAUAUCGCAUGAUAUUUUAUUAAAGAUUUAUCGGUGAUGGAUGGGG
This 225-nucleotide ribosomal RNA is filed under the name uncultured bacterium. RNAcentral's name for it is "partial 16S ribosomal RNA". It matches the Rfam family "Bacterial small subunit ribosomal RNA", at positions 15 to 230 of the family's 1533-position model. The record is from RNAcentral.